RNAcentral lists this ribosomal RNA (253 nucleotides) under uncultured bacterium. RNAcentral's name for it is "partial 16S ribosomal RNA". It matches the Rfam family "Bacterial small subunit ribosomal RNA", at positions 524 to 776 of the family's 1533-position model. The record is from RNAcentral.
UACGUAGGGACCAAGCGUUGUUCGGAUUUACUGGGCGUAAAGGGCGCGUAGGCGGCAAUUCAAGUCAGCUGUGAAAUCUCCGGGCUUAACUCGGAACGGUCAGCUGAUACUACUUUACUAGAGUGCAGAAGGGGCAAUCGGAAUUCUUGGUGUAGCGGUGAAAUGCGUAGAUAUCAAGAGGAACACCUGAGGUGAAGACGGGUUGCUGGGCUGACACUGACGCUGAGGCGCGAAAGCUAAGGUAGCAAACGGG